Molecule: Y RNA, 105 nt
Filed under: Choloepus hoffmanni (Hoffmann's two-fingered sloth)
Lineage: Eukaryota; Metazoa; Chordata; Mammalia; Pilosa; Megalonychidae
Description: Y RNA (ENSCHOG00000014070.1)
Rfam family: Y RNA
About the family: Y RNAs are components of the Ro ribonucleoprotein particle (Ro RNP), in association with Ro60 and La proteins. The Y RNAs and Ro60 and La proteins are well conserved, but the function of the Ro RNP is not known. In humans the RNA component can be one of four small RNAs -- hY1, hY3, hY4 and hY5.
Source: RNAcentral
GGUCCGAAGGUAGUGAGUUAUCUCGAUUGUUCACUGUCAGUUACAGAUUGAUCUCCUUGUUCUACUCUUUCCCCCAUUCUCAUUACUGCACUUGACAAAACAAAU